CCCGUGAUCCGGGUUGCGGACAGUGUCUGGUGGGUAGUUUGACUGGGGCGGUCUCCUCCUAAAGAGUAACGGAGGAGCACGAAGGUUGGCUAAUCCUGGUCGGACAUCAGGAGGUUAGUGCAAUGGCAUAAGCCAGCUUGACUGCGAGCGUGACGGCGCGAGCAGGUGCGAAAGCAGGUCAUAGUGAUCCGGUGGUUCUGAAUGGAAGGGCCAUCGCUCAACGGAUAAAAGGUACUCCGGGGAUAACAGGCUGAUACCGCCCAAGAGUUCAUAUCGACGGCGGUGUUUGGCACCUCGAUGUCGGCUCAUCACAUCCUGGGGCUGAAGUAGGUCCCAAGGGUAUGGCUGUUCGCCAUUUAAAGUGGUACGCGAGCUGGGUUUAGAACGUCGUGAGACAGUUCGGUCCCUAUCUGCCGUGGGCGCUGGAGAACUGAGGGGGGCUGCUCCUAGUACGAGAGGACCGGAGUGGACGCAUCACUGGUGUUCGGGUUGUCAUGCCAAUGGCACUGCCCGGUAGCUAAAUGCGGAAGAGAUAAGUGCUGAAAGCAUCUAAGCACGAAACUUGCCCCGAGAUGAGUUCUCCCUGACUCCCUGAGAGUCCUGAAGGAACGUUGAAGACGACGACGUUGAUAGGCCGGGUGUGUAAGCGCAGCGAUGCGUUGAGCUAACCGGUACUAAUGAACCGUGAGGCUUAACCUU
This 699-nucleotide ribosomal RNA is filed under the name Escherichia coli. RNAcentral's name for it is "partial 23S ribosomal RNA". It matches the Rfam family "Bacterial large subunit ribosomal RNA", at positions 2232 to 2925 of the family's 2925-position model. Lineage: Bacteria; Pseudomonadati; Pseudomonadota; Gammaproteobacteria; Enterobacterales; Enterobacteriaceae. The record is from RNAcentral.